Long non-coding RNA from Anopheles darlingi, 3867 nucleotides. RefSeq lists it as uncharacterized. The transcript has 3 exons. The record is from RefSeq and is a predicted model, not a curated record. NCBI's taxonomy places the organism in Eukaryota, Metazoa, Arthropoda, Insecta, Diptera, Culicidae.
AACGAGAGCAAAGAAGGAAGCAUGUGAAAUUUUGGGUCCUGCGUUGUUUGCCGAGAGCAAGCGGAUUUACGUGUUUUUAGUUGGUUUUUAGUGCAGUGAAGGGCAGUUAUUAGUUUAAUUAUGGCGCACCUUUUUUCUGAUUUUAAAAUGGAGAAACGGAAGUGUUUUAGAUAUUAGGGAACACGUUUUGUGUAGCGUCAUCCACGAGGUUUUUUGAACGCGCGUGUGUGUGCGCGUGUGCUUCAAUAGAUGCCGGCAUAUUCGUUCCAGGAAAAAGUGUUUGUACCAGAAACGAAGCAGCCAGACCUAAAGACAAUAGGCUUUGUUCGCGAGUAGUGUGUGCUUUAUUAUUUCUUAGAAAAUGGUGUCAUUGUAAUGAAAUACGUUUGUGAUGUGUGAGGGCAUGUUUGGCUAUUCAACAGAUCCGUUGCGAGGCCACCGGUUGAUUGUGUGUGGCCUGGAUAUUACUUUUGGUGCGGAUCGCGGCCUCGUGCUCCGGUGAAAUAGAAUGAUUAGUGUGAGGUUAGAGGAGAGUAGUGUCCAGUUGAAAUGUACCGAACGAAAAUGCGGUUUAAUUUAUCAGAAUUGCGUUUUGCCGGUAAAUAGAUAUGCCGAGCAUUUUAAAAGCACAAGGGUCGUGUUGGGUUAUUUAUACAGCCUGUUCCAUGCCUUCAAUUAGCUACCUAGGUUGCCUCUAGAAGAAUCUGUGAGAAAUUAGGGGACUAUUAUUUUCUGCCUUAAAUGCUUCUGUUUGAUGUUGAGCACUGGCCGAUCCCAAAGAGAGCUGCUUUAUGAUUGCAUUUUUAUUGAGAAAUCGACGAAGUGAAUGCCUGAACAUCGUGGACGAAGUACUUACAGCAAGCAUUUAAUGAGGUCUUGCAUUUAACUAUGGAACAUUUAAUGAAGUAAGUCCUUUUUUCGAUUUGGGGCUGGGAAACCCUCAUAGGGAUCUAUACGAGAUCGCCGAUUUUAUCUUGUAGCGCAUCCGCCUAGUGCGGCUCUCUAUCCAACCGUUUUUUAGCUCGUUAAUGGCCAUGGGCCGACUGUUUGGACGCUGGAAUUCAUCCGUUUUCCAGAGCAGACCAGUUUCGUAUCUCUGUUCUCGAUAGCGAGAGCGUUCGGAUGUGGUUGAUAUUCAGUGCUUUGCGUUCUCCUCGUUGUUCUCCUCGAUUCCUGUACGAAAAAUAUCCCUUUUCCUUCUUUCACCUGUCUCAUUUAGAUCCGCUCUCCCUCUAAUCCGCACGUUUACUAUCUCUUAUCGAGAUAUUAUCACUCUAUUCACUCUAGAUAAUUCUAGAGUCGCGUGUACAUUUAUUACUCGACUUAUGCUUCGGUUCCGUCUGCGAAGGAACUCGCUUGGGUGACAUUCUCUCGACACUAUGUAACUCAGCAAGUGCCGGCUUUGACACCUAUUUGUAAGAUUUUGCAUUUUCAUUGUCCGAUUGGACACGAAUGGCUUCCUAUUGUGGUGUGGUGCAUUUAACCAGUGCCAAACGAUGUUGUAGUCAAGUAAUGACGAAAAUUUGCUGUACGAACGACAGAUUACAAGGAACGGGUCGUUGACACCAAACAAGAGGGAACGUGGUAACAGGGAAAGCUCGUAAUCGGCCCGCCUGCGCAGGCGUCUAUCCGGAACAAAAACAUUAGUGGAGGAGCUAACGCAAAGCGCACCAUCGGACUAUAAAAACUAUCUGUUGCGGAUGGCAACGUAAUAAUUAAAAAAAGGAUCUGGACGUUUCUUUAAAUGCGUUUAUUUGAUGCUCAAACGAUUUAAAAAAUAUAUCAUCUUGCUUCCGUGUCUGCUAUCGAAAAAGAACCUCGACAAGCCAAGCUCUCCUGCCGAUCCCGCAGCGCGACCGGGGCGCCACGCACACUCUUUCCGGUCCGGCGGGAACGAGACGGCCACCGCUCCUCUCGAGAUAGCUAGCCGUCCUGUCAGCUCAGCUAUUCAGCGGUCCUGGUGCUGACGUCGCCAACAUCCUCCCCCCUGUAUGCCGUUGUUGCCAGUGGCCUACCUAAGCCUUGGUGCCAACGUCCAGCACCGCGAUUUUCACUGCCGGUCUCUUUAGCAGUCCGCGUGACGUUUUUACAGUUGCUCGUCGUACUUGUCCGCCUGCAGCGCGCACAACGUCGACCAAUCGUCCUCGUGGCCAGUCGUUGCGGCUAUUGUUCGGGUCGACGACCAAAACAAGAUCUCCUUCCCUGAUGGGUUUCGCUGGCUGGUAGCAUUUGAUUCUUUGGUUAGCGUUGGUAGGUAUUCGUGAACCCACCUCAAGCCAAAGCAAGUUGGCGAAAUCAAUGGUUUCUUUCCAGGUUCGUUGCGCGGCAGUGGGUGAAUCAUCAAACGGUAUGUUGCCGUUUGAGCUGCCUAGGGUGAAAUGGUUUUCUUCGAAACGGAGGUAGGCUACGGCGGAGGUCCCAUUCUCGCUGACGUCACAGAAGAUGUGAAGACUGAUCUUGGUGGACACUUCAGAUGUAGUUCUUUGUCGGUAGCACCGAGGGAUACUGAUCAGUUCCACCUUCGAGCACCGUGAUCCACAGCGACCAUGUUUCCUUUAGUUUACCGCUGAUCCCCUCGUCCCAGGAGCAUUUUGCGCGCCAGAUUUCCUAAAUUCAGGUACAUUAAAAGGUUGCCGACCAAACCCAUGGGGUCAUAUAUGGACAUUAGAACCCUAAAGAUUGAUCUCUUCGUGGGCGAUAUUGUCUGUGGGUCACGUCGGGGGUUGAGUCUGAAUGUGAAAGCAUCCGAUUUUGUGUCCCACCACAUGCCCAGGACUUUCUCUGUGGUGAGUGCUGCGCUCGUUAGUAGUUCCUUCUUCCCAGCAGCUUCGCUGUUCAGGUGUAUCUUGACUUUGGAAGAGUUGGACAACCAAAGUUUCGGAUUUCGAAACCCGCAGCUGAGCGAAUGUGUCGCACCUCUUCGGCGAGCGUGAUCGCCUCCAUCUCGGUUUCGACACUCGAUAGCAUAUCGUCGACAUAAUGUUCAUAUUUGAUGACCUCUACUGCUUUCGGGUAUUGUUCCAGGAUCGGCGUUGGCGUUUUUAACAUAGUGAGCAGUGCUGGGUGAACAAGCCGCUCCAAAGGUCAUUACAGUGAGGAUGUGCACCUGUGGAACGUUGUCGCCCUUUCCGUCGUUCCAGAAAAACAUCUGACUUCGUUGGUCGCGGGGGUUCAUCCUUACUUGGAAGAACAUCUCUCGAAUUUCUCCGGUGACGGCGAUCUUGUUUUCCCGGAACUUGAAUAGCACGGACAGCAAAUCGACUAGCUGGUCGGGGCCAGUGAGCAACUGUGAAUUUAGGCUAACUCCGUUCACCUUCCCGGCGGUGUCGAAGACUACGCGUAUCUUUGCUGGUUUGUUGGGGUUGACCUCCGGGAAUAUUGGCAGGUACCAGUCGUUCGAAUGGCUCUCCGCUAGUUCCAUAGUGGUAAGCUUCCUCGUGUACCCUUUGCUUUCGUAUUCCUCUAUCUUUACCCGCAUUGCUGUCGCCAGCAUUGGGUCUCGUUGUAGCUUCUUCAUGAGACAGUGAUGUCGCUUUAGGGCCAUAGCCCGGCUGUCCGGCAGCUUAAUGUUAUCAGCUUUCCACAACAACCCUGCUUCGUAGUGUCCCUCCCGUUGGAGGACUACGGUCUUCAGGAUCUCAAGCGCCCUUUCUUCUUCAACUGAUUUUAGAGUUGAGAUUGCAGCACCUACUCCCAGCGAGUCGAUUGCAAAGUACUGUUUCAUUGCUUCGUGGAAGUUAUCGUCUCGAUCAUUGCAUGUGCACAGGUGCAGGUUCAGUAAUGUAUUCGGGGGCCCAUAGACGUGUUGCUUCUUGCACGGCCCGUACACUGUCCACCCUAGGCAGGUUUUCGCGGCUGCCAGCUCUU